ACAUUACACGACUCUCGGCAACGGAUAUCUAGGCUCUCGCAUCGAUGAAGAACGUAGCAAACUGCGAUACUUGGUGUGAAUUGCAGAAUCCCGUGAACCAUCGAGUCUUUGAACGCAAGUUGCGCCCGAAGCCAUUAGGCCGAGGGCACGUCUGCCUGGGCGU
Molecule: ribosomal RNA, 163 nt
Filed under: Hoya meliflua
Lineage: Eukaryota; Viridiplantae; Streptophyta; Magnoliopsida; Gentianales; Apocynaceae
Description: 5.8S ribosomal RNA
Rfam family: 5.8S ribosomal RNA
About the family: 5.8S ribosomal RNA (5.8S rRNA) is a component of the large subunit of the eukaryotic ribosome.
Source: RNAcentral